This is a long non-coding RNA of Cervus elaphus (red deer), 1809 nucleotides long. RefSeq lists it as uncharacterized. NCBI's taxonomy places the organism in Eukaryota, Metazoa, Chordata, Mammalia, Artiodactyla, Cervidae. The transcript is spliced from 2 exons. The record is from RefSeq and is a predicted model, not a curated record.
UCAGGGACUGAACCUGUGUAUCCUGCAUUGGCAGACGGAUUCUUUACCACUGAGCCACCAGGGAAACUCUAAAAAUGUUUAAAGUUUAAAAUGUAUUGAGCAUUUGCUUUAUAUUUAGUUUAAAAGUAGUGUUUACCAUGUGUCAAGCAUUAUUCCAGGUACUUCAUAAAUAUUUCCUAACUUACUAGUUCUUAAAGUGUGGCCUCAUGACCAUAGGGUUCCUCAAUGUCCAAAGGGUCUCUUUGAGGUCCCUUUGCUAGCUAUUCAUCAAUGACAGGCUACAUGUUCUUCCUAUAGGUAAUACAAAUCAGCAUAUCAUGAUUGACUGAAUGUGCACAUGCAGAUCUUAGGGGCCAGCUCUCUGAUAAUGAGCUAGAUUUUAAAGAGAUUUGCAAAAAUAUGGAACAAUGUCACUGUCCUCAGCACUUGUUUGUUUGUUUUGGAGCAUAGUUAAUUUUUAUUGAAAAAAUUCAUGCUAACAUGUCAUGUGUCUGUUUUAAACUAAUCAGUGUUUUUUAAAAACAGCUUAAAUUUCUAGUUACAGUAGAUAUCAGUAGAUGUAACAUGUUUAACAAGAUCUCUUUAAGGUCUUCAACAGUUCUGAAGAGUCCCUGAGAGCGAAAAGUUUGAGAACUGCUGCCUUACUACUUCCUAAGAAGUGUUAUUUUACUCUACAACAGAGGAAACUGAGAUACAGAGAAGUCAAAUCACUUGCCUGAGGUCAGACAAGCUGAUCUGGAAUUCUGGAGCAGUUUGGCUGAGCAGUCCUGAUACGGAAUCUCUCAGGAGACUGCAUUCAAGAUAUCAGCAGGGGCUGCAUCAUUAUCUGAAGCCUUGACUGGGGCUGGAGGAGCCACUUCCGAGAUGGUGCCCUCACGUGGCUGUCAACAAGAGGCCUGAGUUUCUCUCCCUGUGGGACUGUCUCCCAGAGCUGCUUGAGUGUCCUGUGGCAUGGUAGCUGGCUUCCCUCAGAGGAGUGUCAAGAGAACCCUGAAGCAACAAUUCCUUUUAUGACCUAGCUUCAGAAGUCAUAGACAGUCAUCUCUGCCACAUUCUCUUAGAGGUCAGUCACUAAGUUCUGCCUCUCAUUCCAGGGGAGGGCAAUUAGGCUCCAAAUUUUUCUUUUUUUUUUUUUUUUUUUGGCUGCUGUAGCAUAUGGGAAUCAAACCCAUGACCCCUGCAGUGGAAGCAUGGAGCCCCAACCACUGGACCACCAGGGAAUUCCCUAGAUUGCACCUUUUAAAGAUAGGAAGAUCACAGAACUCCUGAAUAUAUUUUGAAACCAUCACAACAGGCAAUGAUAGAGCUGAGGAGCCAAACAAGAUUGUGAGACAAAAGCAUAGGUUAUCAACAGCAGAAAGAUAUUAAUCCACUUAGGACUACAGAAAGGAAGGGAGGAAGUAGGACUAUCAGAGCCCAGGAGCCAGGACCAUCCAGUAGAAACUGGACUUUCAGAGGAUCUGGAGCCUCGAACAUGCAGUCACUGGCAGAGAUGCUUCCCAAAGCAGAAAGGGAGACAAAUGCUCUGGCUUCUUCCUUCCUCGGCCCUCCAAUCUUUUGCCAGUGCCUGUGACUGGUUAGGAAGCAGAGUGAAGGGGAGCCUGGGAAACAGAUUUCCUUGUGAUACAGAGGUGAGCAGAGAAGGCCAGGAUGGGUAUAAGAUGAAGGUCCUAGCACGUCCCAGGACGGCUUAUUUGAUUAGGUGAUGACAUUAUGGUUAAACUUGUCUUGAAUUUUCAUUUUUAUAUCAAUAUUGUUCUUCAUAAAGUAACAUUUAAAAACUGAAAAUGAAAAAAAGAAAAGAAAAAU